CCUCAAGUGGGCGGAGGAAGGCAGGGUCUGGGGAGGAGCAGAAACAGGCUGUUCCCUCCACCCAGUGUUUUGUCCUCCUGAGGAAGAGUACAGACAUAUCUGAGAGAGCCCCAUAGCCUUUGGGCUUGAAAAAGACAACAUAUAUGUGUUUGAACCAAAGAUCACCUAGGAAGGCUCAGUGAGAAAUGGGAGCCUGAAGAGAGAUGAUACAGAAUUCCUCCUGCAAGUAUCUGAUUCUGCAGAGAUUUAAUAGAAGACUGCACAAGCAGCAUCUAGAAACAAAGCUCCCACUAAGCCUGGAGAGUACACGGCACUGAUGUAUGGACCACUAUACCCGAAUAUGGGAUACUUUAGAGAUG
Long non-coding RNA from Malaclemys terrapin pileata, 359 nucleotides. RefSeq lists it as uncharacterized. The transcript is spliced from 3 exons. The record is from RefSeq and is a predicted model, not a curated record. Lineage: Eukaryota; Metazoa; Chordata; Testudines; Emydidae.